UGGAAGGUGAACACAAGCUAUUCUGUCUCCUGGACCCCGAAAAACAGUCCGAUGGACAGUUCCAAGCCCUGAUCCUGGCAGACCCCAUGACUUCUAGCCACAGGUGGAGGUUUACCAGUCUGGUUUAGCAGACUUUAGCACCUGAGACCAAGAGCUCCAGCAGCUCACUAGAUUCUGACCAUACCUGGAGGCAACCUGGUGAAAGAAGAGGCUUGGAAGGAACCAGCCCUCUGAGUCCCAGCUCCUCGCACACUCCAGGUGUGCCUAGGGAGCCCUCCCAUUUGACUCCACAGGGUCCUGUCAUGGCCCAUGGAGAGAGGUUGACCCUCCUGUGUUGCUCUGAUGUUGGCUGCAAAAUAUUCUCUCUGUCCAAGAAAAAGAUACAUCACCUUCCCCAGAGUUCUGGCCAGAAGUUCUCCCAAGAUGACUUCCCCUUAGGCCCUGUGAGCAUCUCCCAUGGGGGCCAGUACAGAUGUUCAGUGGACACAACCUCUCCUCUAGGUGGUCAGCCCCCAGUGACCCCCCUGGACAUCCUGAUCGCAGGACAGAUCCGUGAGACAGCCUCCCUCUUGGUGCAACCAGGCCCCACUGUGGUCUCAGGAGAGAACAUGGCCCUGCUGUGUCAGAUGCAAAGCUGGGUGGACAGACACUUUCCUUCUAUCUGAGGAGGAUGCAGCUGACAAGACCCCACCCUCGUAUCUAAUAUCAAAGUACCCUACUCUGUGGUAGAGGUUGAAUUCUCCAUGAGUCCUGCGACCUCAGCCCAUGCGGGGACCUACAGGUGCUAUGCCUCAUAGAGUGUUUACCCCAAGCUGUUGUUCCCCCAGUGACCUCCUGGUAAUACAGGAGUUACUAAGAAAUUGUUUUAGGCAGAUAGUAAGGGUAAAGGUUCUUGGUGGAAAUUUUCCAGUAAUAAGGAACAAUCCCUGAACCAUCUCUUUUCUAACAGAAAUGACAGCUUAAAUGGCCCGGCCAGCAAGCUUUAAUGUGCAAAUGCCAACCAUUAAAAACUGGGUUCACUCAA
This is a long non-coding RNA of Homo sapiens (human), 1024 nucleotides long. RefSeq lists it as uncharacterized. NCBI's taxonomy places the organism in Eukaryota, Metazoa, Chordata, Mammalia, Primates, Hominidae. The record is from RefSeq and is a predicted model, not a curated record. The transcript has 2 exons.